This 510-nucleotide ribosomal RNA is filed under the name uncultured bacterium. RNAcentral's name for it is "partial 16S ribosomal RNA". It matches the Rfam family "Bacterial small subunit ribosomal RNA", at positions 29 to 523 of the family's 1533-position model. The record is from RNAcentral.
AACGAACGCUGGCGGCGCGUUUUACGCAUGCAAGUCGAACGGCAUAAGCUGUAGCAAUAUGGUUUAGAGAGUGGCAAACGGGUGAGUAACACGUAGGUGAUCUACCCUCGGACGGGGGAUAGCCCGUGGAAACACGGGGUAAUACCGCAUAAGGCCUCUGGGGUAAAGCUCAGAGGUGAAAGGUGCAAUUGCACCAUCUGGGGAUGAGCCUGGGGCCCAUUAGGUAGUUGGCGGGGUAAGAGCCCACCAAGCCGACGAUGGGUAGCCGGCCUGAGAGGGUGUACGGCCACACUGGAACUGAGACACGGUCCAGACUCCUACGGGAGGCAGCAGCGAAGAAUCUUCCGCAAUGGGGGAAACCCUGACGGAGCGACGCCGCGUGGGCGAUGAAGGUCGUAAGAUUGUAAAGCCCUUUUUUCAGUGAAGAAUAAGGUGGGGAGUGGAAAGCCCCAUCGAUGACGUUAGCUGGAGAAUAAGCCCCGGCCAAUUACGUGCCAGCAGCCGCGGUAA